UGCCACAGCCAUAUCACCACGUAGCCCAAAACGGGUCACUCGCUGGAGCUAAGCAGGGCUGAGCCUGGUCAGUACCUGGUUGGGAGACCACAUGAGAAAAACUAGGUUGCUGUUGGAA
Molecule: ribosomal RNA, 118 nt
Organism: Danio rerio (zebrafish)
Lineage: Eukaryota; Metazoa; Chordata; Actinopteri; Cypriniformes; Danionidae
Source: Ensembl